CCAACAGCUCUGCUGUAAAUAUUACAACGGGGCUCACCGAUAACGGCGUUGCAGGGAACUACGGAGGAGCCACCUAAUUGCCCGAUUAGAAUGCGAAAGGAUGUUGGGGGUGUGUAUUCCUGGGGGAUGGGGCAAGAGCCUGACAGGAAGUGGAGGAGCAGACCCCCGGGGGGGUUCAGGGAUGCCGGUGCCACUUGAUUAAGACCCUCCAUGUAAUCAGGCCUGCGGUGUGAUCGCAAUACACACAACAGCUCCUACGGC
Molecule: long non-coding RNA, 261 nt
Organism: Paramormyrops kingsleyae
Lineage: Eukaryota; Metazoa; Chordata; Actinopteri; Osteoglossiformes; Mormyridae
Source: RefSeq, a predicted model, not a curated record